Molecule: ribosomal RNA, 423 nt
Filed under: uncultured bacterium
Lineage: Bacteria
Description: partial 16S ribosomal RNA
Rfam family: Bacterial small subunit ribosomal RNA
Source: RNAcentral
GAAUUUUGGACAAUGGGCGAAAGCCUGCUCCAGCAAUGCCGCGUGCAGGAAGAAGGCCUUCGGGUUGUAAACUGCUUUUGUAGGGAACGAAAAGCUUUGGGUUAAUACCCUGGAGUCCUGACGGUACCGUAAGAAUAAGCACCGGCUAACUACGGGCCAGCAGCCGCGGUAAUAAGGAGGGCGCAAGCGUUACUCGGAAUUACUGGGCGUAAAGCGUGCGCAGGCGGUUUUUCAAGACAGAUGUGAAAUCCCCGGGCUCAACCUGGGAACUGCCUUUGUGACUGCAAGGCUAGAGUACGGCAGAGGGGGGUGGAAUUCCGCGUGUAGCAGUGAAAUGCGUAGAUAUGCGGAGGAACACCGAUGGCGAAGGCAACCCCCUGGGCCUGUACUGACGCUCAUGCACGAAAGCGUGGGGAGCAAACA